Long non-coding RNA from Balaenoptera ricei (Rice's whale), 1912 nucleotides. RefSeq lists it as uncharacterized. The record is from RefSeq and is a predicted model, not a curated record. NCBI's taxonomy places the organism in Eukaryota, Metazoa, Chordata, Mammalia, Artiodactyla, Balaenopteridae. The transcript has 7 exons.
CGGGAGCGCAGCCUGUUUCCGUCCUGCUCGCUGUUGGCCGCACACGGUGGGGUGUCGCUCCAGGACCUUGCUCCAGACUACGCCCAGGGAUGGGACCCACGCCCGCUGCAGUGGAAGCUCGGAGUCUUAACCACUGGACCGCCAGGGAAGUCCCAACAGCCUGCUUUUAAAUGCAGGAAAAUCAAGGGAAAGUGCGAAUGCAGUCCCCCACUAUCACAAAUGAUGCAGUUGAGUUUCCCACAUUUGGGAAAAUGGCAGGGGUCAGCACAUCCGAAAUGCAAUGGAUAAGCCUCGCCCUGGGAGAACCACCUUCGUGAUCAUGGUAUCUCCCCUGCCAGAUAACACCCUGAAGCUCCAACUUAGUGGUGGGUCAACUAGACUCCGUGAAAUAUGGUCAGUACCCUCCUCAUUAUGACAAGCUCACCUUGAUGCUAGUUUCUGUCUGCAACUCCUGGAUUCAAUCACCUCAAAAAAGGAGAGAUUAAACAGAACAUCUAUAAUCUUCUAAAGUCCUAAAAGCCUGCAUUAUGUCUGGAAAUUGUGGUAUUUAUCUACUAUUCCCAGGAGACUAUUGGUCACCAUGUAGCUGUCAGAUGGCAGCAACUUCCAAUCAAUAUCCAUCUGGAUUGGAUUCAUCCUGGACCUAGAGAUAUCGAAGAAAGUCUGCUACACAGCAUUGAACAACCUCUGCAGAACUGGGGAAGGAACAAUUCAUGAGACUAACAGUUACCUUCUACCAGUUACUUUCUUCAGGCUGAUGUUAAGCAGCACUGUAUGUAUAUGUGUGGAAUUAUUCCACAAUUAAUGGUAAUACAGAAUUUUCUGGGAAGCUUGAGAUUAGAACCUUUAACAUACUGAUCAGAGAGGAAUAUCGGGUAAAUACUAAAGGUAAUUAAUAAAUAAUCUAAAGUUAAUCAUUAUAGGACCAUUAAAUAAAUCCUGGUAUAGUCAUACAGCAGCUAAAGAGACAUUGAUUACCUUUUAACUUAUACUACAACAUGUAUAUUUAAAACAUUUUGGGGUAACCACUAAAAAGAGGCAAACAAGUGUAUAACUUGCAAACCAAUAGAAGGUAAAUGAAAGAGAAUUUACAAAAAAUAAUAAUCCACAAAAAGCAGAAAAAAGAAAAGAAUUUGUCAGUUGAAAACAGAAUAUUUUAAAACUACAUCCAAAUAUAUCAGUUAUUUUAAUAAUAUUAACAACUAAACUGGAAAUGGACAGUGUACAAAUAUAUUUGGAUUUUAAGCAUAUUUUAUUUUCAGACUAGUCAUAAAUUAUACAAAAAUAUGAGAGUAACUGUGUUGGAAUAGAAAGAACUGGAAUUACUUGAAUUAAAGACCAGCUAUGCCAUUUUCCCUCAAACUAUGUGUCCUUAAGCAUAUUUCCUUACCUUUCAGAGUCUGCUCUUCCCCACAUGUAUAUACCAGAUAAUAUAUACUUCACAGGAGUUUUGUGGUGAUUGUUUACAUUGAAUGCGGUGCCCCAUCCGUACAGGAUAUUUUAAAAAUUAUGACUGAAAUUUACUCUUGGUGUGUAAAAACCCAAAUUAAUGGCUUGACUAAUAGGGCUGUCCAAUUUUUAGAUAAUGUCCUUAGUUCUUUUUUGGGGCAUAUCAUGCAUUUUCAAAUAUUGAGUUUAUUUUUAUAAUAGGAGAAAAGGUUAAUACUACUUGGGUGAAUAUGAGAUGUAUUAUCUUUAACAAUUAAACUCACAAGAUUCUUUGCUAUUGAUGUCAUUUCUUAAAAAUAAUCAAGGUGAUAAAACACCCAUUUGGAUGUACUAGUAAUAAGUUGGGAGGGUUAGAUAUAUAGUUGGGCUGGGGUUCGGGGGUUUUAUCUCGUUUCAGGUAUAUUAUAGUACCUAGCAUAUUUUGAUACCGAAUGAAUAUUAAUAAUGAGAGCAGUAAUAAUUU